UGGAGGCCUGACUUUGAAACUUUGUUGUAUCCAUACAUGCCUCCUGAUGGAAAAAGUCCCAAGGAAUGCACAAAGCUCUACCUUGUACGGUUACCAGUGAGUCGAAAGUUCAUUGUACCAAAAAACCUUAAACUGCUUGCAGUUCCAUUGUGCCAGAUUCAUGAAAAUUACAAGACCUAUGGACCGAUAAUAUCAGGAAUACCACAGCUGCUAUCAAAGUUCUCCUUCAACAUUAUCAAUUCUUAAACUGGGCAUCUUCAUUGUGAUUGAGGUAAGUAAAGAGGGGGGAUUUGCAGUUGUUAGAAAAGGCUUAUGGAACUGCAAGCAGUUUAAGGUUUUUU
This 341-nucleotide unclassified non-coding RNA is filed under the name Hevea brasiliensis (rubber tree). The record is from RNAcentral. Lineage: Eukaryota; Viridiplantae; Streptophyta; Magnoliopsida; Malpighiales; Euphorbiaceae.